This 301-nucleotide ribosomal RNA is filed under the name uncultured bacterium. Its description in RNAcentral is "partial 16S ribosomal RNA". It matches the Rfam family "Bacterial small subunit ribosomal RNA", at positions 509 to 807 of the family's 1533-position model. The record is from RNAcentral.
CAGCAGCCACGGGAAUACGAAGGGGGCUAGCGUUGUUCGGAAUUACUGGGCGUAAAGGGCGCGUAGGCGGCCAUUCAAGUUAGAUGUGAAAGCCCUGGGCUCAACCUAGGAAUUGCAUUUGAUACUGUUUGGCUUGAGUUCGGGAGAGGUGAGUGGAAUUCCCAGUGUAGAGGUGAAAUUCGUAGAUAUUGGGAAGAACACCAGUGGCGAAGGCGGCUCACUGGACGCGUAUUGACGCUGAGGUGCGAAAGCGUGGGGAGCAAACAGGAUUAGAUACCCCGGUAGUCCCUGUCUCUUAUAC